This 1288-nucleotide long non-coding RNA is filed under the name Salmo salar (Atlantic salmon). RNAcentral's name for it is "lncRNA (ENSSSAG00000108417.1)". Lineage: Eukaryota; Metazoa; Chordata; Actinopteri; Salmoniformes; Salmonidae. The record is from RNAcentral.
AGCGGUAUGACGACUGCGUGGUCCCAUGGUGUUUAUACUUGCGUACUAUUGUUUUUUUUUUUUUUUUUUUUUUAGGUCUUGAUUGAUUUUUGAUUUUCCCAUGAUGUCAAGCAGAGGCACUGAGUGUGAAGAUAGCUGUACCUUUGGAUGUAUUUCAAGAUGAUCCUAGGAGAAGGACAGAUGAGAACAGCAGGUCAGUGGAGCAUUUAUAACAGCAGCAGCCAGGGUUAACUGGCAGGGAAGAGGAUGAUUUAGGUGAGCCAGACACAGGGCCAAAACAAGUUAAGCCAUCACAGUAUCCAGUUAAGCACUUUGGAUUGCAAAACUAAGAGAUUAGUGAUGCACCAAUUACAUUUAUGGCCGAUACCGAUAUUUUCCUUGCCAAAAAACGAUACCGAUCACUAUAUUUUAAAUUUUAGCGUCCUUAAGCAUUCUAGUGCAGUUAAAUAGUUAACACAUGCACGCAAUGAUCUAAAAUCAAAUCAAACUUCAUUUGUAUUCGGCGCAUGUGACAAGUGUAGCUCUUACCAUGAAAUGCGUAUAUUACAAGGCCUUACCUCUACUUGAACUGCACUGUUGGUUAAUGAAAUAUUCAAAUAAAAUAGUAACACAGGGCUAUAUACAGGGGUACGGUACCGAGUCAGUGUGUUGGGGGGGGGGUACAGGUUAAUUGAGGUAAUUAGUACAUGUAGGUAGGGGUGAAGUGACUAUGCAUAAAUAAACAGCGAGCAGCAGCAGUGUACAAAACAAAUGGAGGGGGGAGUCAAUGUAAAUAGUCUAGUGGCCAUUUGAUUAAUUGUUCAUUCACUAUUAAUUCUUGGUUACGUGAUCUCGACUGAUGAGUGAUAUUCCGAGGGAACCUCGUGCUCCCGAGUGGCGCAGCGGUCUAAGGCACUGCAUCUCAGUGCAAGAGGCGUCACUAUAGUCCCUGGUUCGAAUCCAGGAUGUAUCAAAUCCGGCCGUGAUUUGUGAGUCCCAUAGGGCGGCGCACAAUUGGCCCUGCGUCAUCCGGGUUUGGCUGGGGUAGGCCAUCAUUGCAAAUAAGAAUUAGUUCUUAACUGACUUGCCUAGUUAAAUAAAGGUUACACACUGACCAAAACGUUACUUUGUUGGUAUUUACGCAUAUCACCAUUACCAGUAAAACAACCUAUCAAAACCUAAUUAUUUCACUUACUUGCUGUUUCGCUGUUCAGUUGUUUCAUUCUCAACAAGGAUUUCAUCAUACAUGUCAAGCAGUGAAGUUUCAGCUGUCUAUCCGUGGCCUCUCUUCCUCGGUGCGCACUGUCAC